GGGUUAUCCUAUAACCUUAUAGAGUUGAUCAAAUCAAAUUCAUAAUGAGUCAAAUUAAAUCCAAUCAAAUAGGACCCAAUGCAAGUCCCAUUGCUUAAUCAAAUUGAGCCAAUUAGCAAUCUUAUUACUAAUUAACCCUUCUACAACUCACUAACUCUUUAGUAAGUUACAUAAUACAACAUUUGCAUUAGAUCAAUUAUCAAUCAAAUUGAUAAUCAAAUCCUAUGACGAUUCAUAAUCGUAAUUCAACCAUC
Molecule: long non-coding RNA, 254 nt
Filed under: Elaeis guineensis (African oil palm)
Lineage: Eukaryota; Viridiplantae; Streptophyta; Magnoliopsida; Arecales; Arecaceae
Description: long non-coding RNA (EGUI_LNC065405)
Source: RNAcentral